RNAcentral lists this ribosomal RNA (496 nucleotides) under uncultured bacterium. RNAcentral describes it as "bacterial SSU rRNA". It matches the Rfam family "Bacterial small subunit ribosomal RNA", at positions 439 to 929 of the family's 1533-position model. The record is from RNAcentral.
GUGACGAGGAAGGUUGAUAGGUUAAUAGCGUAUCAAAUUGACGUUAAUCACAGAAGAAGCACCGGCUAACUCCGUGCCAGCAGCCGCGGUAAUACGGGGGGUGCGAGCGUUAAUCGGAAUAACUGGGCGUAAAGGGCACGCAGGCGGUGACUUAAGUGAGAUGUGAAAGCCCCGGGCUUAACCUGGGAAUUGCAUUUCAUACUGGGUCGCUAGAGUACUUUAGGGAGGGGUAGAAUUCCACGUGUAGCGGUGAAAUGCGUAGAGAUGUGGAGGAAUACCGAAGGCGAAGGCAGCCCCUUGGGAAUGUACUGACGCUCAUGUGCGAAAGCGUGGGGAGCAAACAGGAUUAGAUACCCUGGUAGUCCACGCUGUAAACGAUGUCGAUUUGGGGGUUGAGCUUUAAGUUUGGCGCCCGUAGCUAACGUGAUAAAUCGACCGCCUGGGGAGUACGGCCGCAAGGUUAAAACUCAAAUGAAUUGACGGGGGCCCGCACAAG